ACUCACACCCCCCCACACACACCGGAGUCGGUGCAUUCACCCCCCCCCCCAAAAUGGGUGCCCUGCAUCAGUGCACUCACACACCCCUGCACACCGGAGUCGGUGCAUUCACUCCCCCUGCAAAUGGGCGCCCUGCAUCGCGCCACUGCCCACGCCGGGUGGUGCGGGGGUUCCCCACGGAGGGGCCGCUCGCAGGAGCCGUUCAAACACCCCUCCUGUGCAGAGCGGAGAUGCCACCCGGCCUGCGCGAGCCCGCUGCUGCAAAGCCCCCGCCGCCCUGACUGGGGUCACCCUGCUGCACUAUACGGCAUCAGCGUGCACAGCUGGGUUUGUAUACGGGCAUAUAAAUAUAUGCGUCCAUGCAGGUGCAUGCAGCUGGCCUUGAACAGAUACACCUAUGCAUGCAUAUAUGUGUGCAGACAUGUGCAGCUGGUUUAGAAUAUAUAUACAUAUGUGUACAUGUGUGUAUGUAUAUACACACACAUAUAUACAUAUAUAUACACAUAUAUGUAUGUAGAUAUCUAUAAUGUGGUUUUAGAGGGGGGCAGGGGGUGCAUGUGCCCACGCCAGGCGGCGGGGCCGACCCCGGCAGUGCCAGGCCCCACACCACUGCCCGCACCCAGAAAGAUUCACUGGUUUAACUAAACUGGUGACUACACAGCCGGGAUUAACCRGUAAAAAACUGUGCACCUAGGAGAGGGGAGAGGAAAGUGCCUAAUUUCAGAGGGACUGUCUACCCCCGGCGUGUGAACUAUUUGCAGGGUUGAGGAGAAAGUUUGUAACGUCAGGAUCCAAAUUGCCAUGGGGGAAAAAAGGCAAUGCAAAAACGAGCCAUUUUUGCUAAAUAGUGCUGUGCCUGGGUCCUUCCUCAGGUCCCUCCCUGGGCUGUCUCUGCUCUCUCGCCUCCCUCUCCCCCUUCUGCACCCAACGCCUUGCAGACUGCAAGCGAAUGUAACGCCUGCCUCGUUAUUCACGCAGGCCGGUCCACUUCGGUAUUAAUUGAAUUAUUGCAGAGCGUGGCCUUUACUACUGCAAAGCGCGAUGGCACACGUAGCAGGGGACGGGGGGAAAAUAAAGAAAGCGCAGCCCUAAUACCAUUUCGGUUCCGAUUUCUGAUACCAGGCACCGAAGCGACCCUUCCAGCUCCGGUGCCCUUGGCAGACGGCAGCGACAGCGCGGUGUCCCUUGGCCACUGGAGGGAGCCCAUAUUGUGCCAGAACGCCGUGGAAAGAGAGCGUAGAAGACAAAAAAUAAUAAAACAUGAAAUAUCAGAUCAUUGUAGUCGGAACAAAGUGUCUCCUCCAGGGCUGCUCCUGCAGGGUAGCCGGCACUCCGGCCUCCACGGCUGCCGUCAAACUCCCUCCUUUCCUCCCACCACGUGGUACUCUCCUUGGUCGCGCACGAGUAAGACCGGAGGUGAUCUAGUGCGAAGGGAAGGAAAGGGGACAUACGAUGCCGGCGUUUCGUUGCUGCGACAGGAGGAAGUCCCGCGAUUACGCUGCCACCCCGUGAACUUCACGGAUGUCCCGGCAUCCCCGUGUCUUGGGGAAACGGCUACGACAAAAACGUUCCCUGGGCACGGCGAUGAGAUGGACAUGACCUUUGCCCACUUGGUGGGACCAUGUCCAGAUGUGGGAAACCAACUUUGGGACAGUUAUUUCCAGCUAUCAAAUGUCCUUUCCCUGGCCUUGUGUUAG
This 1697-nucleotide long non-coding RNA is filed under the name Apteryx rowi (Okarito brown kiwi). Its description in RNAcentral is "lncRNA (ENSARWG00000002564.1)". The record is from RNAcentral. Lineage: Eukaryota; Metazoa; Chordata; Aves; Apterygiformes; Apterygidae.